Molecule: ribosomal RNA, 252 nt
Filed under: uncultured bacterium
Lineage: Bacteria
Description: partial 16S ribosomal RNA
Rfam family: Bacterial small subunit ribosomal RNA
Source: RNAcentral
UACAGAGGGUGCGAGCGUUAAUCGGAAUUACUGGGCGUAAAGGGCGCGUAGGCGGUAUGGCAAGUGAGAUGUGAAAUCCCUGGGCUUAACCUAGGAAUGGCAUUUUAGACUGUGAUACUAGAGGUCAGUAGAGGGUAGUGGAAUUUCCGGUGUAGCGGUGAAUGCGUAGAGAUCGGAAGGAACACCAGUGGCGAAGGCGACUACCUGGACUGAAUCUGACGCUGAGGCGCGAAAGCGUGGGGAGCAAACGGG